AGGACGAACGCUGGCGGCGUGCUUAACACAUGCAAGUCGCGGGGGGUGAGCAAUCACUCACCGGCGAACGGGUGCGUAACACGUGAGCGACCUGCCCACUUGUGGGGUAUAGCCGGCCCAACGGCCGGGUAAUCCCGCAUACGCUUCUCUGGCUGCAUGGCCGGGGAGAAGCCGUAAGGCGCAAGUGGAGGGGCUCGCGGCCUAUCAGCUAGUUGGCGGGUAACGCCACCAAGGCGAUGACGGGUAGCUGGUCUGAGAGGAUGGCCAGCCACAUUGGGACUGAGAUACGGCCCAGACUCCUACGGGAGGCAGCAGUGGGAAUCGUUGCGCAAUGGUCGAAAGACUGACGCAGCGACGCCGCGUGCGGAGGAAGCCCUUCGGGGGUGUAAACCGCUGUUACGUCGGGACGAACGUUCUACGAUUCAUCGAGAUUGGACGGUACCGGGAGAAGCACCGGCUAACUCUGUGCCAGCAGCCGC
This 479-nucleotide ribosomal RNA is filed under the name uncultured soil bacterium. RNAcentral describes it as "bacterial SSU rRNA". It matches the Rfam family "Bacterial small subunit ribosomal RNA", at positions 26 to 518 of the family's 1533-position model. The record is from RNAcentral.